RNAcentral lists this ribosomal RNA (449 nucleotides) under uncultured bacterium. Its description in RNAcentral is "bacterial SSU rRNA". It matches the Rfam family "Bacterial small subunit ribosomal RNA", at positions 330 to 795 of the family's 1533-position model. The record is from RNAcentral.
GCCAGACUCCUACGGGAGGCAGCAGUGGGGAAUAUUGCACAAUGGGGGAAACCCUGAUGCAGCAACGCCGCGUGGGUGAAGGAGCGUUUCGGCGCGUAAAGCCCUAUCGGCAGGGAAGAAGGAGGACGGUACCUGACUAAGAAGCCCCGGCUAACUACGUGCCAGCAGCCGCGGUAAUACGUAGGGGGCAAGCGUUAUCCGGAUUUACUGGGUGUAAAGGGAGCGUAGACGGCGAUGCAAGCCAGAUGUGAAAGCCCGGGGCUCAACCCCGGGACUGCAUUUGGAACUGUGUGGCUGGAGUGUCGGAGAGGCAGGCGGAAUUCCUAGUGUAGCGGUGAAAUGCGUAGAUAUUAGGAGGAACACCAGUGGCGAAGGCGGCUUGCUGGACGAUGACUGACGUUGAGGCUCGAAAGCGUGGGGAGCAAACAGGAUUAGAUACCCCCGUAACA